Molecule: ribosomal RNA, 681 nt
Filed under: Bacillus subtilis
Lineage: Bacteria; Bacillati; Bacillota; Bacilli; Caryophanales; Bacillaceae
Description: bacterial SSU rRNA
Rfam family: Bacterial small subunit ribosomal RNA
Source: RNAcentral
GGCGGCGUGCCUAAUACAUGCAAGUCGAGCGGACAGAUGGGAGCUUGCUCCCUGAUGUUAGCGGCGGACGGGUGAGUAACACGUGGGUAACCUGCCUGUAAGACUGGGAUAACUCCGGGAAACCGGGGCUAAUACCGGAUGCUUGUUUGAACCGCAUGGUUCAAACAUAAAAGGUGGCUUCGGCUACCACUUACAGAUGGACCCGCGGCGCAUUAGCUAGUUGGUGAGGUAACGGCUCACCAAGGCAACGAUGCGUAGCCGACCUGAGAGGGUGAUCGGCCACACUGGGACUGAGACACGGCCCAGACUCCUACGGGAGGCAGCAGUAGGGAAUCUUCCGCAAUGGACGAAAGUCUGACGGAGCAACGCCGCGUGAGUGAUGAAGGUUUUCGGAUCGUAAAGCUCUGUUGUUAGGGAAGAACAAGUACCGUUCGAAUAGGGCGGUACCUUGACGGUACCUAACCAGAAAGCCACGGCUAACUACGUGCCAGCAGCCGCGGUAAUACGUAGGUGGCAAGCGUUGUCCGGAAUUAUUGGGCGUAAAGGGCUCGCAGGCGGUUUCUUAAGUCUGAUGUGAAAGCCCCCGGCUCAACCGGGGAGGGUCAUUGGAAACUGGGGAACUUGAGUGCACAAGAGGAGAGUGGAAUUCCACGUGUAGCGGUGAAAUGCGUAGAGAUGUGU